This 301-nucleotide ribosomal RNA is filed under the name uncultured bacterium. RNAcentral describes it as "partial 16S ribosomal RNA". It matches the Rfam family "Bacterial small subunit ribosomal RNA", at positions 509 to 809 of the family's 1533-position model. The record is from RNAcentral.
CAGCAGCCACGGUAAUACGAAGGGUGCAAGCGUUAAUCGGAAUUACUGGGCGUAAAGCGUGCGUAGGCGGUGAGUUAAGUCUGCUGUGAAAUCCCCGGGCUCAACCUGGGAAUGGCAGUGGAUACUGGCUCGCUAGAGUGUGUCAGAGGAUGGUGGGAUUCCCGGUGUAGCGGUGAAAUGCGUAGAGAUCAGGAGGAACAUCAGUGGCGAAGGCGGCCAUCUGGGACAACACUGACGCUGAGGCACGAAAGCGUGGGGAGCAAACAGGAUUAGAUACCCCAGUAGUCCCUGUCUCUUAUAU